Long non-coding RNA from Stegostoma tigrinum, 711 nucleotides. RefSeq lists it as uncharacterized. The record is from RefSeq and is a predicted model, not a curated record. The transcript has 3 exons. NCBI's taxonomy places the organism in Eukaryota, Metazoa, Chordata, Chondrichthyes, Orectolobiformes, Stegostomatidae.
AUCUUUAAGGAGGGCAGAAAUGCAAGGAAACAAGAGGAACAAUAAACACAAACGAUCUUGGUGGAAAUAAAAAAAGACUUCAGUGAUACUGAUCAUGCUAAGGCAUUUCCACGUAUUACCAAAACAUUUGAAAACCGAGCUAGAUAAAAGUAGAUGAAUCAUGAUCACCAGAGGACUGUGAACGAUUUGAAGAAGUAAAAUUGCUGAAAGGAAAAGCUGUUUUAUAUCUAAUUGAUGAAGAACCGUAGAGGAAUCGUGGUCCCCAGUGGAUUGUGAACGAACAGAAGCAGGAAAAUCACGAGAAGCCAAAUGAGAUGGAUCACUGAUUUUACAUCUUAGUGAUGGAGGCAAACAGCUGUAAAAAAGUCUGCGGAGAUAGAAUCGAAAUCUUUCACCUAGAAGUGCAUAAAUGAUGGGGUUCAAGCAGCUGUGUACAAAUGUGACGGUUUCAGUUACCUGCUGGGCAAUCAAUAGCUGUACCAGCAAUGCACAACCAGUUAAAAUAUUCUGUUCUCUCAAAGACUCCAGUAACAUCACAACAUUGUACGGUGCCCAAAAUAUAAAAAACACUAUGACAACAGUAAAUAUAACUUUUAUAACCCUGUGUUUCUUACAGCUUUUGUUUUUGCGCAGAGUUAGAAUUAUUCUUGUGUAACAGAAAACUAUGACUGCCAAUGGAACAAAAAAACCCAACACAUUGGAUUUGAAAAA